AGUGAACGCUGGCGGUAGGCCUAACACAUGCAAGUCGAACGGCAGCACAGUAAGAGCUUGCUCUUACGGGUGGCGAGUGGCGGACGGGUGAGGAAUACAUCGGAAUCUACUUUUUCGUGGGGGAUAACGUAGGGAAACUUACGCUAAUACCGCAUACGACCUACGGGCGAAAGCAGGGGAUCUUCGGACCUUGCGCGAUUGAAUAAGCCGAUGUCGGAUUAGCUAGUUGGCGGGGUAAAGGCCCACCAAGGCGACGAUCCGUAGCUGGUCUGAGAGGAUGAUCAGCCACACUGGAACUGAGACACGGCCCAGACUCCUACGGGAGGAAGCAGUGGGGAAUAUUGGACAAUGGGCGCAAGCCUGAUCCAGCCAUACCGCGUGGGUGAAGAAGGCCUUCGGGUUGUAAAGCCCUUUUGUUGGGAAACAAAAGCAGCAGGUUAAUACCCCGCUGUUCUGACGGUACCCAAAGAAUAAGCACCGGCUAACUUCGUG
RNAcentral lists this ribosomal RNA (492 nucleotides) under uncultured bacterium. RNAcentral's name for it is "partial 16S ribosomal RNA". It matches the Rfam family "Bacterial small subunit ribosomal RNA", at positions 29 to 507 of the family's 1533-position model. The record is from RNAcentral.